Molecule: long non-coding RNA, 258 nt
Organism: Perognathus longimembris pacificus (Pacific pocket mouse)
Lineage: Eukaryota; Metazoa; Chordata; Mammalia; Rodentia; Heteromyidae
Exons: 2
Source: RefSeq, a predicted model, not a curated record
GAAGUCUGAGGCCUUCAGAGGAGCCUGGAGCCUGAGGCCUGUGGGGAGGCCUGUGGAGAGGCGAGGCCUGCAGGAAGGAGGAAUAGAAAGAAGCUCGCUCCUCUGGAGGUUUGGAGGUUGAGGCUGUUGGAGGUUAAGGAGUGGAGGUUUGGAGGUCAGGUCCGGGUUCUGGGUAAUUAGCCCAGGACAAGGUAGUCGCAGGCCAGCAUUUGGAGGUAGAGGGCUGUUCUGGUUCUGAAUUUUAGGUUGUAAAUAAAA